UAUUCCCGUCUGUCUCCAGGGUCCCUUUCCGUCCAAUAUCUCCUCCCAUGUCCAGGAGUCCUGAACCCUCUGCUUCUCCAUACCACGCUGCUUGGUCUGUUGGUGGUGGGUAGUUCUGUUAAGGGUGUCGUCGUCUGAAGAGGAGGAAUAAUCGGACCAAAGCGCAGCGUGAAUGUGGCCAAGUCCUCUCUACUCUCCAGAGAACAGUCCCCGCCCCUGGGGUGGACUAUAUCGAUGAGCAGGGUGGGCCUGGAGGUCGGCGUCUGGGGUAGGGUCGUCAGUUCACCAGAGCCAGUAAAGCUCCAGACCCUGCCUCACUGAGAAGGAUGACCCUGGUCUCAGGGACCAGGAGCCUGGUUAAGAGGUUGUGGAUACUCCUCCUCUGCUUCCACGUCCCAGGCUAGGUCCCAGAGCAUCAGGACACCACAAGGGCAGCGACACAGAACCCCCUCCUAAGGCAGGCUUCCAGGGGCUCUCACAGUCCACCCACCCCGUGAGAACCAAAGAACCGGAUGAGGAAGACUGGGGCAAUGUGGGCCAGGAGAAGGAAGAGCAGGCCAGGCAGGGUGUUGCAGUGUAGACAUAUCAUGUUAUAGUGCAGGAGGAACAUGCUCUCUGAACAGAUCAGGCACCGUAGUGAGUCAGAAACUAUGAACCUCUAUGACAGUCUAACAUCCUCUCAUUUAUAAAACCACAUUAAAACAUCUCUAAAUA
Oncorhynchus gorbuscha (pink salmon) is the source of this 714-nucleotide long non-coding RNA. RefSeq lists it as uncharacterized. The transcript is spliced from 2 exons. NCBI's taxonomy places the organism in Eukaryota, Metazoa, Chordata, Actinopteri, Salmoniformes, Salmonidae. The record is from RefSeq and is a predicted model, not a curated record.